This 774-nucleotide ribosomal RNA is filed under the name uncultured Neocallimastigales. RNAcentral describes it as "partial large subunit ribosomal RNA". It matches the Rfam family "Eukaryotic large subunit ribosomal RNA", at positions 23 to 645 of the family's 3401-position model. The record is from RNAcentral. Lineage: Eukaryota; Fungi; Neocallimastigomycota; Neocallimastigomycetes; Neocallimastigales.
GAGACUCUGUGCGCGUGCAUAUCAAUAAGCGGAGGAAAAGAAACUAACAAGGAUUCCCUUAGUAACGGCGAGUGAAGCGGGAAGAGCUCAAAUUUGAAAUCUUCAAGGUUCUACCUUGACGAAUUGUAGUUUAUAGAAGUGUUUUCUGUUGGAGUUUUGGUAAAAGUUCUUUGGAAUAGGACAUCAUAGAGGGUGAGAACCCCGUAUUUGACCAUUAUUUCCAGCUGUGUGAUACACUUUCAAAGAGUCGGAUUGUUUGGGAAUGCAGUCCAAAAUGGGUGGUAAAUUUCAUCUAAAGCUAAAUAUUGGCGAGAGACCGAUAGCGAACAAGUACCGUGAGGGAAAGAUGAAAAGAACUUUGAAAAGAGAGUUAAACAGUACGUGAAAUUGUCAAAAGGGAAGCGUUUGACACCAGUGUUGUUUAGUUGAAAAUCAAUUCAAUAAUUUUUGAUUUUAAGUAGUAUUGACUUCAUCAGCUUGCUGCUUUCUUUUCGAGAAUUAUUGAAUGCACUUUUCAGUUAACAAGUCAACAUCAAUUUCUUUUGUUGUAAAAGGGUAAGAGGAAGGUGGCUUGCGCUUCGGCUCAAGUGUUUAUAGCCUUUUAUCUCUGCAAUCGGAGAGAUUGAGGUCUGCAGCGUAGACUCUUCGGGGUUAGAUACAUUUGUGCUAAGCUAUAGCCUUGUAUAGACAACUUGUUGACUAUGCUCAGUCAUGUAGCUUACUCGCAGAUGCUAUUUUACCUACGCUUAGGAUGUUGAAGUCAUCGUAUCGCGC